This 468-nucleotide ribosomal RNA is filed under the name uncultured bacterium. Its description in RNAcentral is "partial 16S ribosomal RNA". It matches the Rfam family "Bacterial small subunit ribosomal RNA", at positions 28 to 507 of the family's 1533-position model. The record is from RNAcentral.
GACGAACGCUGGCGGCGUGCUUAACACAUGCAAGUCGAACGGAAAGGCCCUGCUUUUGUGGGGUGCUCGAGUGGCGAACGGGUGAGUAACACGUGAGUAACCUGCCCCUGACUUUGGGAUAACUUCAGGAAACUGGGGCUCAUACCGGAUAGGAGUUCCUGCUGCAUGGUGGGGGUGGGAAAGUUUCGGCGGUUGGGGAUGGACUCGCGGCUUAUCAGCUUGUUGGUGGGGUAGUGGCUUACCAAGGCUUUGACGGGUAGCCGGCCUGAGAGGGUGACCGGCCCCAUUGGGACUGAGAUACGGCCCAAACUCCUACGGGAGGCAGCGGUGGGGAAUAUUGCACAAUGGGCGGAAGCCUGAUGCAGCAACGCCGCGUGCGGGAUGACAGCCUUCGGGUUGUAAACCGCUUUCGCCUGUGACGAAGCGUGAGUGACGGUAAUGGGUAAAGAAGCACCGGCUAACUACGUG